RNAcentral lists this ribosomal RNA (1440 nucleotides) under Triticum aestivum (bread wheat). RNAcentral describes it as "partial small subunit ribosomal RNA". Lineage: Eukaryota; Viridiplantae; Streptophyta; Magnoliopsida; Poales; Poaceae. The record is from RNAcentral.
AUGUACGGUCCCCGACUCUCCGGCGAGUUCACUACGGGUUUGAAAGAUUUCCUCGUAGUGGCAAAUGCGAACAAGCAGCAAGGUUUUAUUAUCUGUCCAUGUGCUGUCUGUAAGAAUCAGAAGGGUUACUCCUCCUCAAGAGACGUUCACAUGCACCUGCUUCGGCACGGUUUCAUGCCAAGCUAUAAUUGUUGGACCAAGCAUGGAGAAAGAGGGGUUAGAAUGGAAGAAGAUGAAGAAGGGGAUGAUAUCGAUGACAACUAUCAUGAUCAUUUCGGUGAUACUUUCAUGGAGGAUGAUGCUGAAGGUGGGGAAGGGUUAGGUGAAGGUGAAGAAGAGGCACAUGAUGAGCCCGCUGAUGAUCUUGGUCGGACCAUUGCUGAUGCACGGAGACGCUGCGAAACUGACAAGGAUAGGGAGAAUUUGGAUCGCAUGUUAGAGGAUUACAAAAAGUCGUUGUAUCCAGGAUGCGAUAAUAGUCUGAAAAAGCUGGGCUGCACACUGGAUUUGCUAAAAUGGAAGGCACAGGAAGGUGUAGGUGACUCAUCAUUUGAAAAUUUGCUGAAAAUGUUGAAGAAUAUGUUUCCGAAGAAUAACGAGUUGCCCGCCAGUACGUACGAAGCAAAGAAGGUAGUCUGCCCUCUAGGUUUAGAGGUUCUGAAGAUACAUGCAUGCAUUAACGACUGCAUCCUCUACCGCGGUGAAUACGAGAAUUUGAAUGAAUGCCCUGUAUGCACUGCAUUGCGUUAUAAGAUCAGAGGCGAUGACCUUGGUGACGAUGUUGAGGGCGAGAAACCCAGGAAGAGGGUUCCCGCCAAGGUGAUGUGGUAUGCUCCUAUAAUACCACGGUUGAAACGUCUGUUCAUGAACAAAAAGCAUGCCAAGUCGUUGCGAUGGCACAAAGAGGACCGUAAGUCCGACGGGGAGUUGAGACACCCCGCUGAUGGAACGCAAUGGAGAAAGAUCGACAGAGUGUUCAAAGAUUUUGCAGCUGACGCAAGGAACAUAAGAUUUGGGCUAAGUACUGAUGGCAUGAAUCCUUUUGGCGAGCAGAGCUCCAGCCAUAGCACCUAUCCCGUGACUCUAUGCAUCUACAACCUUCCUCCUUGGUUGUGCAUGAAGCGGAAGUUCAUUAUGAUGCCAGUGCUCAUCCAAGGUCCAAAGCAACCCGGGAACGACAUCGAUGUGUACCUAAGGCCAUUAGUUGAUGAACUUUUACAGUUGUGGGCCAGACCUGGUGUACGUGUCUGGGAUGAGCACAAAGGAGAGGAAUUUGACCUACGAGCGUUGCUUUUUGUAACCAUCAACGAUUGGCCUGCUCUCAGUAACCUUUCAGGACAGACAAAUAAGGGAUACAAUGCAUGCACGCACUGCUUAGAUGAGACUGAAAGUGUACGUUUGGUUAAUUGUAAGAAGAACGUGUACCUAGGUCAUCGUUGA